UGGGAUAUUCUGAUCUAAGUUUUACAUUCUAGGAUGAAGAUGAACCGCAUGUACAGUAGUUAUGUUAUCCCUUUCUUUUGUAAAGGAUUUUAUGUCUUCUUCUUGACGAAAUAAUUAGAUUGCGGUCUGAUGGAUUCCUUAUUUCACUAAGUUCCUAAAAUUUUCGUACUUUCUAAUACUAAAUUCUGAAAACCAGAACCUGAAUAUUGAGUAAAUAACUAAAAGCUUUCCUCCUUUGUUUCUGUCAUGUCUUUUGCCCAUUGAUGUGACCAUGGUAUGCAUGUUUCUGUUAAAUAACCUUAACUUUGUUAGUAUCUACAUUUAAGAACUCUCUGUUGGAGUAAUACAGGCACGUUUAAGUUGACCCUUCAGUUUACAGAGGAUUACCCAAACAAACCACCGACAGUCCGAUUUGUUUCUCGAAUGUUUCAUCCAAAUAGUAAGUUGGAUUAUACAUGUCUUGACAUCACAAUUUUCUGCAUGUUAAGCAUUUCUCCUCUGGUUUCUGAAUUCAAUUUUUCUUUCAAAUUUGGUCAGUUUAUGCAGAUGGAAGUAUUUGUUUGGAUAUUUUACAGAAUCAGUGGAGUCCUAUAUAUGAUGUGGCAGCUAUACUCACAUCUAUUCAGGUAGGAUUGAAUUGUGUGGAUAGGAUUUUUGUUCCUUGCUUAUAUUUAUGAAUUUUCAUAGCAUGUAGCAAAGGUGUGUCGCCUAUAGCAUACAUUUGACUUAGAACUUAAAGAAACAUCGUAUUGGGGAGGUUAAAGUUUUGCUUCUACACCUUAGGGUCUUAAGGAAGGCUAGUACGUUUAUCUUUAUUCCAGUACAGUGUGGAGUUUUAUAUAUCUAUACGACAAAUGUAGCUGCACAUGCCAAUGAAGGCAUGUAGGUAUUUCGAUGUAGACCAACUAUGAAUGGAAAUAGUGAUGUAUGUGUUGAGAAACUUUUAGUGUGCUAAACACCAACAAUCUGAGAAGACCCUAACAUCUACCAUUUUCUUAUUGCAGUCACUACUAUGUGAUCCCAACCCAAACUCUCCUGCUAAUUCAGAAGCUGCUCGCAUGUUUAGCGAGAACAAGCGUGAGUACAACCGAAGAGUGAGAGAAAUCGUGGAACAGAGUUGGACAGCAGACUAACUCCUUCACAUGGGAGCUUGUAGGACAGUCGGAAUUUGUUCAAAGGCAUUUUAUAAGUAGCAUUUCUAGCUACUGCGAGAAUCGUUAUGCCAACUUAUCAACAUUUAUCCUGUAUUUCAAUGUUUUAUUCCCAAAUUAUGACGCUUAGGAUUUGUUCUUCGAAGUAUACAGUUGUGAUGGUAUAUGUUGUAAAUUGUAAUUUCCAUCAAGGACGUUGAUGUAUGUGGAAAGGAUUGACCAUGGAUUAGCUGACAUAAGCUUUGAUGUUUAAGUAUGCUUUAACUCUUAAUCACUUUGUUAACGUCCAUAAUAAAAACACUGCAUUGAUCCUGCAGUGGUCAUUUUCAGUGACACUGAAUUGCCGACCAUUUUAUAUUCUUUAGCUAUAGAGACAAAAUUUAUGGACCCACCCCACUCCAUAUUGUAGUCAAAGUACGUCAAAUACUACUCUCUAAAUUAUUGUUCGUAGGCUCCGUCUAAAAUUUACCAUCCUCAUCCAAUUAUUAGGUCACAAUAUAAUCGAUCAAUAUGCUUUGCGGGCCCCAGGAUCAAUGUAUCCACUUGUAAAAGCCAAACCAAGCCCCCCUUAAGUUCCUUUCCUGAUGCUCUGUAUAGUUUUUUCCAGCUAGCUCAUGAAAUAUAUUCUGUAAAUAAGGAGACAAAAAGGGAGCAUCAUGAAAUGGCAACAAGGGCUAUAUGGUUGGUAUGUCAUGAAUACACUGUGAUUAUAAUUUGUAAAGAGUAAACUAUGAAAACGAGUGAUUAUCAAUUGUUAAUAUGUAGGUGUUUUGUAAAUAAUAAACAAUCGUUCAUGCACGCACGCGUACUGUAAUAUAUGAGAUAUAACUUCAUUUAUAAGCUCUUAUAAUUCUCUUUAUUCUCAAUAUUAUAAAAAAUUUAAGAGUAUUAUUAAAGUCACCCAUUUCAAGGUCUUAUAUUUUGUAAUUUGACAACUCAAAGAUGGACAUGGUAGUUUUGAAUCUCUCAAGAGAAUGAAAAACCAUAAAAAGAAAAAAAGGACAAAGAAAAAAGAAAAAGGUGGAGAGAAAAUUCCCUCCAUUCACUUUUGGGAGAUUUUGGAAAAGACCAAAAGGGAGUGAAAUUUUUUAAAAGAAGCCAAAAUGGACAAAAUUGCCCUUCUUUAUUUUUGGAUUUCAUAAAGAAUCUUUUACAUUUGCAUGUUUUUGUUUUGAAAGUUGAGAGGUUUUUUUGUCUUUUUUGAAAAAAUUUUGGCUUUUUUCAAAAGUAAAAAAAAUUUUGUGGCUAAAUUCUAAAUUUAGGAGAAUAUAUUUCAGAAAGAGAAGGCAAGCAGGCAAGUAGGGAGGGUCAGUGCUGAGUAGACCGACCCCAACCACAUCGCAAAAUUCCUACAUUCACAUUCACUUGAUAAUUCUGAUACAAGCUAAUUUACAAAACAACCUCCGCCCUUCUCUCUCUCUCUCUCUCUCUCUCUCUCUCUCUCAGUAGUUCUGUGUUCCUCUCCUCCCAGACCUAAUGGCUUCGAUCUGAUUAAACCCACCUCCAAAGCCCCUUCCUUCAACAACCCAAUUCUGAACCUGUUCAGAUCGAGACCUCUUGGAGAUUCGGAGCUCCAGGUGAGAAAAUUUUCCCCAAAUUUUCCCAAAUUUUCUUCAAUUUCUUUUGUUCUUAUUCAUUUCCAAGUUUAAUUUUAGAAUUGGUUGUUAUUUUAGGCGGGUAACGAACCUAUAAUCAGAAAGAUCCGAAUUUUAUGUCUCGAUGGGGUCAAGUGCCUAGCUUUAUUAGCUUUGUAGUCAAUUGGGUAUUUGUAGUCCAAAUAUGAAUUAGGGUUUUGUUUCUUAGGGUCAAAUUAGUGAAGAGAAUAUGCUUCUUUUCGUUAUCAUGGAUACCGUAGCUCUAAACACCUAAAAAGUUUUUUAAUUGAAGUGAAAUUUCCAGUUUUUGGGCUUACUUUCAGGUCCUGAGCUUUGUUUUUGUGUAUAUUUAACUCAGCUAAAGCUAUCCUAGCUGGUAAUUUGUAGUAUUUGUAUUGAUGAUUCUAUUUCUUCAUGACUAUGUAUCUUACCCGUUGCCCAAAUUGCUUGCCCCAAUUUUUAUACAUUCAAUUUGGUGUAGAAAUUUUUUUCUUUUACUUUUUUGAUAGGCAUUGGAAACAUGCAAUGGGAUUCACCUCCAAUGCACGGUUAAUCUUAAAAGACAUAUUGAAUUGGGUUGAUGUUUAUUGGUUGUUGGUUGCUGUGAUGUGUAGGUGGUAGCAAACUAGCAAUGUCGACUCCUGCGAGGAAGAGGCUGAUGAGAGAUUUCAAGAGGCUGCAACAAGACCCACCUGCAGGGAUUAGUGGGGCGCCCCAAGAUAACAAUAUAAUGCUGUGGAAUGCUGUUAUAUUUGGGUAUGUUGGAAAAAUGAAAUGCAUAAAAAGAAAUUACUAUAGUGUUCUCUUUGUUAUGCAACAUUAAUAUUCAUUUUUCGUUUCUUGUCUGGUUUGGAUUGCAGUCCAGAUGAUACUCCUUGGGAUGGAGGUUAGUUAAUCCUUGUACUGAAGCUUUUGAUUAUGUUAAUGUUUUUUGAGAAGAGAUUAUGUUAAUGUUUUUCAGACGUGGGAUAUUCUGAUCUAAGUUUUACAUUCUAGGAUGAAGAUGAACCGCAUGUACAGUAGUUAUGUUAUGCUUAAGUUAAAAUAGCAAUUCCAAAGUGUUUCCCUUUCUUUUGUAAAGGAUUUUAUAUCUUCUUCUUGAUGAAAUAAUUAGAUUGCGGUCCGAUAUUUCACUAAGUUCCUAAAAUUUUCGUACUUUCUAAUACUAAAUUCUGAAAACCAGAACCUGAAUAUUGAGUAAAUAACUAAAAGCUUUCCUCCUUUGUUUCUGUCAUGUCUUUUGCCCAUUGAUGUGACCACGGUAUGCAUGUUUCUGUUAAAUAACCUUAACUUUGUUAAUAUCUACAUUUAAGAACUCUCUGUUGGAGUAAUACAGGCACGUUUAAGUUGACCCUUCAGUUUACAGAGGAUUACCCAAACAAACCCCCGACAGUCCGAUUUGUUUCUCGAAUGUUUCAUCCAAAU
This 4171-nucleotide long non-coding RNA is filed under the name Prunus persica (peach). RNAcentral's name for it is "long non-coding RNA (PPER_LNC005512)". Lineage: Eukaryota; Viridiplantae; Streptophyta; Magnoliopsida; Rosales; Rosaceae. The record is from RNAcentral.